Molecule: ribosomal RNA, 492 nt
Filed under: uncultured bacterium
Lineage: Bacteria
Description: partial 16S ribosomal RNA
Rfam family: Bacterial small subunit ribosomal RNA
Source: RNAcentral
AGUGAACGCUGGCGGUAGGCCUAACACAUGCAAGUCGAACGGCAGCACAGUAAGAGCUUGCUCUUACGGGUGGCGAGUGGCGGACGGGUGAGGAAUACAUCGGAAUCUACUUUUUCGUGGGGGAUAACGUAGGGAAACUUACGCUAAUACCGCAUACGACCUACGGGUGAAAGCAGGGGAUCUUCGCACCUUGCGCGAUUGAAUGAGCCGAUGUCGGAUUAGCUAGUUGGCGGGGUAAAGGCCCACCAAGGCGACGAUCCGUAGCUGGUCUGAGAGGAUGAUCAGCCACACUGGAACUGAGACACGGUCAAGACUCCUACGGGAGGCAGCAGUGGGGAAUAUUGGACAAUGGGCGCAAGCCUGAUCCAGCCAUACCGCGUGGGUGAAGAAGGCCUUCGGGUUGUAAAGCCCUUUUGUUGGGAAAGAAAAGCAGCAGGUUAAUACCCCGCUGUUCUGACGGUACCCAAAGAAUAAGCACCGGCUAACUUCGUG